UACGGUGAGGCAGCAGUGAGGAAUAUUGGUCAAUGGUCGAGAGACUGAACCAGCCAAGUAGCGUGCAGGAUGACGGCCCUAUGGGUUGUAAACUGCUUUUAUGCGGGGAUAAAGUGCGGCACGUGUGCCGUUUUGUAGGUACCGCAUGAAUAAGGACCGGCUAAUUCCGUGCCAGCAGCCGCGGUAAU
This 188-nucleotide ribosomal RNA is filed under the name uncultured rumen bacterium. RNAcentral describes it as "partial 16S ribosomal RNA". It matches the Rfam family "Bacterial small subunit ribosomal RNA", at positions 340 to 524 of the family's 1533-position model. The record is from RNAcentral.